RNAcentral lists this long non-coding RNA (849 nucleotides) under Triticum aestivum (bread wheat). RNAcentral describes it as "long non-coding RNA (TAES_LNC007571)". Lineage: Eukaryota; Viridiplantae; Streptophyta; Magnoliopsida; Poales; Poaceae. The record is from RNAcentral.
UCCGGCGCUCCUCGGCCAUCCCCGGCACUCUGCCUAGUCACCAGGGACGUGGUGCUCCUCGCCUGCUCCAGCCAGCCCCCCGCGCCGGCUCUGGCGCUCUGCUCCGACCUCUCCCGGUGGUGCUCGCCUGCUCCGCCGGACUCUGCCACCCAGGACUUCCCGUGAACAAAUAGCAAGCUAGCUGGGAGACAGGUAAUUUCCUAAGAAAGCUCUGCCUGCCCCCUUUUGUUCUGCUGAUCAGUGUAUGAUGAAAAUUAAAUUGAAUUUGGACUGAAAAACUGUGUACGAACGUAUAUGCAAGGGACUGUGUAUAUGUAUAAUGUAUUGUUGAUUUGGAAGGGAACACAUUUUAAUAUCAAUUCCAUUUGAUCUUGUAGAAAUAGAAGGGGAAGAUAUAUUUCAUUGGUGCCCUCAACGGAAGUGUGUACGCCCGGUGUUUCAGUUGGUCUGAAUCAACUCCAGAAAUUCGAACAACCAUAGAUUGGACCACCGCCUUUGAUUUCAAACAACCCGCAUUCAAUCUCAAUCGAGAAAGUAACUCUGUUGUAUCCCAUACUGUUUUUUGAAGUUUUUGGCAUCUUUUUAUCAAUUUUUUGUUGUAUGAUUAAGAAUUUUGUGAUCAUUGGCCUUUUUUUACCUUCUGUUGUACCUUGAUUUUUGUAUAUGGUGCUUAUUUGAGAUGCUCACAAGAUCAUCAAUAACAUGAUGAUAUAAAUCAGGGGAGUUAACAUAGUUGUUUAUUAAAGCGCCCUAUAAUAUGGUUUUUAUGCUUAGUUUGGAUACUUAGAUAGUCCAACAAUCUUAGUAGUUGCAGAAGGAAAUAAGUCCCUAUAGCGAUUAGAAAGAAAA